GCCCAGGUGCGCCAUCGGUUGAGCGACUCGGCCUAAACCCGAGUGUUUGCAGGUUCGAUUCCUGCUCUGGGUAC
Molecule: transfer RNA, 74 nt
Filed under: Lignipirellula cremea
Lineage: Bacteria; Pseudomonadati; Planctomycetota; Planctomycetia; Pirellulales; Pirellulaceae
Description: Planctomycetes bacterium Pla85_3_4 tRNA-Leu
Rfam family: tRNA
About the family: Transfer RNA (tRNA) molecules are approximately 80 nucleotides in length. Their secondary structure includes four short double-helical elements and three loops (D, anti-codon, and T loops). Further hydrogen bonds mediate the characteristic L-shaped molecular structure. tRNAs have two regions of fundamental functional importance: the anti-codon, which is responsible for specific mRNA codon recognition, and the 3' end, to which the tRNAs corresponding amino acid is attached (by aminoacyl-tRNA synthetases). tRNAs cope with the degeneracy of the genetic code in two manners: having more than one tRNA (with a specific anti-codon) for a particular amino acid; and 'wobble' base-pairing, i.e. permitting non-standard base-pairing at the 3rd anti-codon position.
Source: RNAcentral